GAUGAACGCUGGCGGCGUGCCUAAUACAUGCAAGUCGAGCGAACAGACGAGGAGCUUGCUCCUCUGACGUUAGCGGCGGACGGGUGAGUAACACGUGGAUAACCUACCUAUCAGACUGGGAUAACUUCGGGAAACCGGAGCUAAUACCGGAUAAUAUCUUGAACCGCAUGGUUCAAUAGUGAAAGACGGUUUUGCUGUCACUUCUAGAUGGAUCCGCGCCGCAUUAGCUAGUUGGUAAGGUAACGGCUUACCAAGGCAACGAUGCGUAGCCGACCUGAGAGGGUGAUCGGCCACACUGGAACUGAGACACGGUCCAGACGCCUACGGGAGGCAGCAGUAGGGAAUCUUCCGCAAUGGGCGAAAGCCUGACGGAGCAACGCCGCGUGAGUGAUGAAGGUCUUCGGAUCGUAAAACUCUGUUAUUAGGGAAGAACAAAUGUGUAAGUAACUAUGCACGUCUUGACGGUACCUAAUCAGAAAGCCACGGCUAACUACGUG
This 497-nucleotide ribosomal RNA is filed under the name uncultured bacterium. Its description in RNAcentral is "partial 16S ribosomal RNA". It matches the Rfam family "Bacterial small subunit ribosomal RNA", at positions 28 to 507 of the family's 1533-position model. The record is from RNAcentral.